AUUGAACGCUGGCGGCAUGCCUUACACAUGCAAGUCGAACGGCAGCACGGGUGCUUGCCCCUGGUGGCGAGUGGCGAACGGGUGAGUAAUACAUCGGAACAUGUCCUGUAGUGGGGGAUAGCCCGGCGAAAGCCGGAUUAAUACCGCAUACGAUCUACGGCUGAAAGCGGGGGCCCUUCGGGCCUCGCGCUAUCGGGUUGGCCGAUGGCUGAUUAGCUAGUUGGUGGGGUAAAGGCCUACCAAGGCGACGAUCAGUAGCUGGUCUGAGAGGACGACCAGCCACACUGGGACUGAGACACGGCCCAGACUCCUACAGGAGGCAGCAGUGGGGAAUUUUGGACAAUGGGCGAAAGCCUGAUCCAGCAAUGCCGCGUGUGUGAAGAAGGCCUUCGGGUUGUAAAGCACUUUUGUCCGGAAAGAAAUCCUUGGCUCUAAUACAGUCGGGGGAUGACGGUACCGGAAGAAUAAGCACCGGCUAACUACGUG
RNAcentral lists this ribosomal RNA (486 nucleotides) under uncultured bacterium. RNAcentral describes it as "partial 16S ribosomal RNA". It matches the Rfam family "Bacterial small subunit ribosomal RNA", at positions 30 to 507 of the family's 1533-position model. The record is from RNAcentral.